Long non-coding RNA from Ctenocephalides felis (cat flea), 305 nucleotides. RefSeq lists it as uncharacterized. The transcript has 3 exons. The record is from RefSeq and is a predicted model, not a curated record. Lineage: Eukaryota; Metazoa; Arthropoda; Insecta; Siphonaptera; Pulicidae.
AGGGUUGUCCACAACUUUCCAAGAAGAUUACCAGAACACCUGCUCAGAACCAAAUCGGACGAACAGAAAACCACUACCAAAUUGGACAAUACGUGCAAAAAUGAAAUGAAGUGAAAGGAGUUGUCGAUAGCUUUCCAAGAAAAUUACCAGAAAACCUGCUACCAGGACCAAAUAGUACGACCAGAAGACAUCUACCAAAUUGGACAAUACGUGCAAAAAUGAAAUGAAGUGAAAAUGGGGUUGUCUACAACUUUCCAAGAACAUUACCAGAAAACCUGCUCAGGACCAAAUAGGACGACCAGAAG